GACUCAGUUCCUCUGAUGUUGUUCUCGUUGACUGGGAGUCAAAAUGUUCCAUUUCCUCAUCACAUUCUCUGUACUACUUAUUUGCCUUAUGGGUCUCUCUCUCAGCCUUGAGGUUUAUCAGACUCCCUCUGAAGUCUUACUGAAACGUGGAGAGAACGUUCAGAUCUUCUGCCACCAUGAGAGAACUAACUACAGACUGAUGCAGUGGUUCCAGCAGUCACCGGGAGAA
Molecule: long non-coding RNA, 229 nt
Organism: Oncorhynchus kisutch (coho salmon)
Lineage: Eukaryota; Metazoa; Chordata; Actinopteri; Salmoniformes; Salmonidae
Exons: 2
Source: RefSeq, a predicted model, not a curated record